CACGUAGGGCGCAAGCGUUGUCCGGAAUUAUUGGGCGUAAAGAGCUCGUAGGCGGACUGUCACGUCUGCUGUGAAAAGCUAGGGCUUAACCCUGGCCUUGCAGUGGAUACGGGCAGACUAGAGGUAGGUAGGGGAGAAUGGAAUUCCCGGUGUAGCGGUGAAAUGCGCAGAUAUCGGGAGGAACACCGGUGGCGAAGGCGGUUCUCUGGGCAUUACCUGGACGCUGAGGAGCGAAAGUGUGGGGAGCGAACAGG
RNAcentral lists this ribosomal RNA (254 nucleotides) under uncultured bacterium. Its description in RNAcentral is "partial 16S ribosomal RNA". It matches the Rfam family "Bacterial small subunit ribosomal RNA", at positions 524 to 776 of the family's 1533-position model. The record is from RNAcentral.